UGGUGACGAUGGCGAAAUGGACACACCUGUUCCCAUCUCGAACACAGAAGUUAAGCAUUUCAGCGUCGACAAUAGUCCUAUGGGGCGAAGAUAGAACGUUGCCAGGCA
RNAcentral lists this ribosomal RNA (108 nucleotides) under Haploplasma axanthum. The record is from RNAcentral. Lineage: Bacteria; Bacillati; Mycoplasmatota; Mollicutes; Acholeplasmatales; Acholeplasmataceae.